RNAcentral lists this ribosomal RNA (416 nucleotides) under Klebsiella pneumoniae. RNAcentral's name for it is "bacterial SSU rRNA". It matches the Rfam family "Bacterial small subunit ribosomal RNA", at positions 1 to 415 of the family's 1533-position model. The record is from RNAcentral. Lineage: Bacteria; Pseudomonadati; Pseudomonadota; Gammaproteobacteria; Enterobacterales; Enterobacteriaceae. RNAcentral also lists the same sequence under 1 other name.
AAAUUGAAGAGUUUGAUCAUGGCUCAGAUUGAACGCUGGCGGCAGGCCUAACACAUGCAAGUCGAGCGGUAGCACAGAGAGCUUGCUCUCGGGUGACGAGCGGCGGACGGGUGAGUAAUGUCUGGGAAACUGCCUGAUGGAGGGGGAUAACUACUGGAAACGGUAGCUAAUACCGCAUAACGUCGCAAGACCAAAGUGGGGGACCUUCGGGCCUCAUGCCAUCAGAUGUGCCCAGAUGGGAUUAGCUAGUAGGUGGGGUAACGGCUCACCUAGGCGACGAUCCCUAGCUGGUCUGAGAGGAUGACCAGCCACACUGGAACUGAGACACGGUCCAGACUCCUACGGGAGGCAGCAGUGGGGAAUAUUGCACAAUGGGCGCAAGCCUGAUGCAGCCAUGCCGCGUGUGUGAAGAAGGC